This 316-nucleotide unclassified non-coding RNA is filed under the name uncultured Inocybe. RNAcentral's name for it is "sequence contains ITS2". The record is from RNAcentral. Lineage: Eukaryota; Fungi; Basidiomycota; Agaricomycetes; Agaricales; Cortinariaceae.
AACGCAUCUUGCGCUCCUUGGUCAUUCCGAGGAGCAUGCCUGUUUGAGUGUCAUCUAAGUUCUCAACCACACUGAUUAUUUUCUGGCGUGGCUUGGAUAUGGGGGUUUUUCCAUCUGCAGGCCUCGGAAAAUGAGGUCGGCUCCCCUGAAAUGAAUUAGUAGUAUCUGAGCAGAGAAAAACUACCACAGGUGUGAUUAAUUUAUCUAUCUAUGCCUUGGUGUGCUGCAGAGACAUAUCGCACUGCUUACAACAAGUGGAAUGCCCACAUUUGAUGAAUUUGACCUCAAAUCAGGUAGGACUACCCGCUGAACUUAA